This 486-nucleotide ribosomal RNA is filed under the name uncultured bacterium. RNAcentral's name for it is "bacterial SSU rRNA". It matches the Rfam family "Bacterial small subunit ribosomal RNA", at positions 8 to 502 of the family's 1533-position model. The record is from RNAcentral.
AGGCUUUGAUCCUGGCUCAGGACGAACGCUGGCGGCGUGCCUAACACAUGCAAGUUGAGCGAAGCAUUUAAUUUAGCUUGCUAGAUUAGAUGACUGAGCGGCGAACGGGUGAGUAACACGUGGGUGAUCUACCUGGGAGACGGGGAUAACAGUUCGAAAGGGCUGCUAAUACCCGAUGAUAUUGCUGAUUCGGUUCAGUGAUCAAAGCGUUAUGUAGUGCUUUCAGAUGAGCCCGCGUUCCAUUAGUUAGUUGGUAGGGUAAUGGCCUACCAAGGCGACGAUGGGUAGCCGGUCUGAGAGGAUGGUCGGCCACACUGGGACUGAGACACGGCCCAGACUCCUACGGGAGGCAGCAGUGGGGAAUUUUGCGCAAUGGGGGCAACCCUGACGCAGCGACGCCGCGUGAGCGAUGAGUGCCUUCGGGUUGUAAAGCUCUGUCUAGGGGGAGAAUAGUGACGGUACCCUUGGAGGAAGCCCCGGGGUCCA